RNAcentral lists this ribosomal RNA (447 nucleotides) under uncultured organism. RNAcentral's name for it is "bacterial SSU rRNA". It matches the Rfam family "Bacterial small subunit ribosomal RNA", at positions 28 to 507 of the family's 1533-position model. The record is from RNAcentral.
GAUGAACGCUAGCAGAACGCCUAACACAUGCAAGUCGAACGAACCAGCAAUGGUUAGUGGCAAACGGGCGAGUAACGCGUAUCUAACCUACCCUUGAGUGAGGCACAACUACAGAGAUGUAGCUAAUUCCUCAUACGUUCUAGAGAAUGAGAAUAUCUAGAAGAAAGAUUUAUCGCUCAGGGAGGGGGGUGCGUCCUAUCAGGUAGUUGGUGAGGUAAUAGCUCACCAAGCCUAUGACGGGUAGCCGGUCUGAGAGGAUGUCCGGCCGCAAUGGAACUGAGAACGGUCCAUACUCCUACGGGAGGCAGCAGUGGGGAAUAUUGGACAAUGGGCGAAAGCCUGAUCCAGCGAUUCUGCGUGAAGGAUGAAGCCUUAUGGGGUGUAAACUUCUUUUCUGGGGGAAGACGAAUGACGGUACCUCAGGAAUAAGAGACGGCUAACUACGUG